This is a long non-coding RNA of Salvelinus namaycush (lake trout), 897 nucleotides long. RefSeq lists it as uncharacterized. The transcript is spliced from 4 exons. Lineage: Eukaryota; Metazoa; Chordata; Actinopteri; Salmoniformes; Salmonidae. The record is from RefSeq and is a predicted model, not a curated record.
CCUCAAGAUCCUGCAGCAGUGUUUCCCUGGGUUCCUGUGGUGGGGGUGGUGGCUGUCCUGACUGCUGUAGCUCUUCUAGUCACCAUCUACUGCUAUAUGAAGAGGAGAUCUACAGGAGGAAGUGAUGCCACAGCAGACACACAGAGUGUCCAUCCUGACCCCAACAGUGACAUGUACACGGCUCUGAACAUGAAGACCAGGUCACCAGAGUAUGACACCCUGGCAAAUGUGAGGGACUUCGCAGUGACACACACAGCCCCUCAAAUAGAUGAUGAGCCCUCCAUUUAUGAGAAAUGAAGAGAACCACCACAGAACCUGGACUGAAGAGAACCACAACAUAACCUGGACUGAAGAGAACGACCACAGAACCUGGACUGAAGAGAACCACCACAGAACCUGUACUGAAGAGAACCACAACAGAACGUAGACUGAAGAGAACCACCAUAGAACCUGGACUGAACAGAACCACCACAUUACCUGGACUGAAGUGAACCACCACAGAACUUGGAUUGAAGAGAACCACCAUAGAACCUGGACUGAAGAAAACCACCACAUAACUUGGACUGAAGAGAACCACCACAGAAACUGGACUGAAGAGAACCACAACAGAACCUGGACUGAAGAGCAACAGCAUCAAACCAAAGCUAGGCCUCACAAUGCUAUUCUCUUACUAUCAUAAUGCUUUAUAGUCUAGAAGGUUUGAGACAAUGAGCUUUAACUUCUGAGUGAAUGCUGGAAUUUAGAUUGUUCUCCUAAUGAUAAAUACAGUAUGUGCAUUACCGUUCAAAAGUUUGAGGUCACUUAAAAUGUCCUUGGUUUUGAAAGUAAAGCAAAGAAUAUUGUCUAUUAAAAUAGCAUCAAAUUGAUCAGAAAUACAGUGUAAACAUUAACGUUAAU